UGCGAGUCACUCCGCAAGGGGUGGCGCACGGCUCAGUAACACGUAGUCAACCUACCCUAGGGACGGGGAUAACCUCGGGAAACUGAGGCUAAACCCCGAUAGGCUAUAGCCUCUGGAAUGAGCUAUAGCUGAAAUCUAUAUGGCCCUAGGAUGGGACUGCGGCCGAUCAGGUAGUUGGUGGGGUAAUGGCCCACCAAGCCUAUAACCGGUGCGGGCUCUGAGAGGAGGAGCCCGGAGAUGGGCACUGAGACAAGGGCCCAGGUCCUAUGGGGCGCAGCAGGCGCGAAACCUCCGCAAUGGGCGAAAGCCCGACGGGGUUAGUCCGAGUGGUCCCUGCUGAAGGGGCCUUUUGCCAGCUGUAAAAAGGCUGGCGAAUAAGGGGUGGGCAAGUUUGGUGUCAGCCGCCGCGGUAAUACCAGCACCCCGAGUGGUCGGGACGAUUAUUGGGUCUAAAGCAUCCGUAGCCGGCUUAGCAAGUCCUCCGUUAAAUCCAACGGCUUAACCGUUGGGCUGCGGAGGAUACUGCUAAGCUAGGGGGCGGGAGAGGCGAGGGGUAUUCCCAGGGUAGGGGUAAAAUCCGUUGAUCCUGGGAGGACCACCAGUGGCGAAGGCGCCUCGCUAGAACGCGCCCGACGGUGAGGGAUGAAAGCUG
RNAcentral lists this ribosomal RNA (652 nucleotides) under uncultured archaeon. RNAcentral's name for it is "bacterial SSU rRNA". It matches the Rfam family "Archaeal small subunit ribosomal RNA", at positions 52 to 713 of the family's 1478-position model. The record is from RNAcentral.